AUCUGGCAAAGCAAACAGAGAGAUUCACCAAGUGUGACCUACACAACAACUCAGACUUCUGAUGUUUCUGUUUCAGAACCUUCCUGAUUCAGACAUUCCCAGAGCCUCAUUGGUGAAUAACUGGAUUUGCCUGUUCUAGUGUGAACAUGGACAUCAUCGACCAUCCUUCCAUAUCACAGCAGACAGACAGAUUCACAGCUCAUUGUUUACACUGAGUGCUUUGAUGAUGGAGAUUUAUUUUUCCUGGGAAUGUGCUUCCACAGAUUGAAUAGUGGAUCCUGGAUCCACCAGGUUGGGAUCCUGAUUCUUCAAGUGAGACUUUCUC
Carcharodon carcharias (great white shark) is the source of this 325-nucleotide long non-coding RNA. RefSeq lists it as uncharacterized. The transcript has 4 exons. NCBI's taxonomy places the organism in Eukaryota, Metazoa, Chordata, Chondrichthyes, Lamniformes, Lamnidae. The record is from RefSeq and is a predicted model, not a curated record.